This is a long non-coding RNA of Coturnix japonica (Japanese quail), 545 nucleotides long. RefSeq lists it as uncharacterized. The record is from RefSeq and is a predicted model, not a curated record. Lineage: Eukaryota; Metazoa; Chordata; Aves; Galliformes; Phasianidae.
UUGCAGAAGGACUCCAUCAGGGUUUUAUUCUGCUUCUGGAAUCAAAGCUGCCUUGUCUUCUUUGUCCUUAUGGAGUCCAAGAGACAUGGAUGAUUUGCCAGUGGAUAAUGACAAGGAAACAAAGAAUGCUCAGAGUGCCUGAUGACACAUCAGCACUUACAGACAGGAUGCGUGCUGUGUGCAGUGUAGGACCUCAACAGAAAUAACCUACCUUAAAAGAUGCUCAGAAUCCAGCCCAUGGACAUCUUUCUCAGCACAUGCUCUCAAGCUGGAGGAUGAAGACCAGGUUGGUCUAUGUUCUCUGUUAGACCCUACAUUCCUUGUUGCACCGUGGUGCAUCUUUUUGCCUCUGUUUGUAAUUACAGCUGCUGUUUGAUUGGUCCUGACAGCAGCUUGAAGUGGUCUUUUUGUUUAGAAAUGUGCCCUGGAAGUAUAUUGAUAAAGAGAUGCUAAAGGUAUUAAAAGCUACAGCAUCCCAAGUUACAAUGGAGUUAUAUCUUGUGUAUAUUCCAGUACAGUCUUUGCAGUAUAAAAGCAGAGAUAAA